AGCGGUGCCCGUGAGACAGCAGCCCCUGGAGGUUGUGCACCGGGAUCCCUGCCCCCCCACCGUCUACCGGAGGACUCAGGACCGCCCCCUCCAGGGAGGAGGAUGGAGGGAGGCUUCUCCCCAGCCCUGCGGGUAGUGAGGGCUGCUGGGUGCUGGUCUCUAAUCUUGGUUGAGCUGUCUAACUGCAGUGUUCCCUGUCUGGAUUCUGUGUCCAUACUAGCUCACUCAGGGCUUUUUCACUUGGAGCUCACAGAUUCCGUGAGGCUUACUAUCCAGCAAAUUCCUGGGAUCCUACUGUCUCUGCCUCCCCAGCACUGGAAUUACAGGUAUAAAUCACUCA
Molecule: non-coding RNA, 340 nt
Organism: Myodes glareolus (Bank vole)
Lineage: Eukaryota; Metazoa; Chordata; Mammalia; Rodentia; Cricetidae
Source: RefSeq, a predicted model, not a curated record